Molecule: ribosomal RNA, 232 nt
Filed under: uncultured Staphylococcus sp.
Lineage: Bacteria; Bacillati; Bacillota; Bacilli; Caryophanales; Staphylococcaceae
Description: partial 16S ribosomal RNA
Rfam family: Bacterial small subunit ribosomal RNA
Source: RNAcentral
UAAGACGUGGGAUAACGUUACGGGAAACCGGAGCUAAUACCGGAUAAUAUUUCUAACCGCAUGGUUCGAUAGUAGAAAGAUGGUUUGCUAUCACUUAUAGAUGGACCCGCGCCGUAUUAGCUAGUUGGUAAGGUAACGGCUUACCAAGGCGACGAUACGUAGCCGACCUGAGAGGGUGAUCGGCCACACUGGAACUGAGACACGGUCCAGACUCCUACGGGAGGCAGCAGCC